RNAcentral lists this ribosomal RNA (433 nucleotides) under uncultured bacterium. Its description in RNAcentral is "partial 16S ribosomal RNA". It matches the Rfam family "Bacterial small subunit ribosomal RNA", at positions 29 to 507 of the family's 1533-position model. The record is from RNAcentral.
AACGAACGCUGGCGGCAUGCCUAACACAUGCAAGUCGAACGAGACCUUCGGGUCUUGUGGCGCACGGGUGCGUAACGCGUGGGAACCUGCCCUUGGGUUCGGAAUAACUCCCCGAAAGGGGUGCUAAUACCGGAUAAUGUCUUCGGACCAAAGAUUUAUUGCGUUUGGAUGGGCCCGCGUUGGAUUAGCUAGUUGGUAGGGUAAGAGCCUACUAAGGCGAGGAUGCAUAGCUGGUCUGAGAGAAUGAUCAGCCACACUGGGACGAAGACACGGCCGAGAAUCCUACGGGAGGCAGGAGAGGGGAAUAUUGGACAGUGGGCUAAGGCCUGAUCGUGCAAUGCCGGGUGAGUGAUGAAGGCCUUAGGGAAGUAAAGUUCUUGUACCCGGGAUGAUAAUGACGGUACCGGGAGAAUAAGCUCCGGCUAACUCCGUG